This 353-nucleotide RNase P RNA is filed under the name Nitrosomonadales bacterium. RNAcentral's name for it is "RNase P RNA component class A". It matches the Rfam family "Bacterial RNase P class A". From Rfam's summary of the family: Ribonuclease P (RNase P) is a ubiquitous endoribonuclease, found in archaea, bacteria and eukarya as well as chloroplasts and mitochondria. Its best characterised activity is the generation of mature 5'-ends of tRNAs by cleaving the 5'-leader elements of precursor-tRNAs. The record is from RNAcentral. Lineage: Bacteria; Pseudomonadati; Pseudomonadota; Betaproteobacteria; Nitrosomonadales.
GAAGCUGGCUAGACAGUCGCUGCGCGCCUCGUGCGCGGAGAGGAAAGUCCGGGCUCCGCAGAGCAGGAUGCCGGUUAACGACCGGACGCCGUGAGGCGAUGGAAAGUGCCACAGAAAAUACACCGCCGAUGGCCGCGCAAGCGGAUCAGGCAAGGUUGAAAUGGCGAGGUAAGAGCUCACCGCGCUGGUGGCAACAUCAGCGGCAGGGUAAACCCCAUCCGGAGCAAGAUCAAAUAGGCUGACCAUGACGUUGCUCGCGUCGUCAGCGGGUAGAUUGCUUGAGCGUAAGGUAACGAAACGCCUAGAGGAAUGACUGUCCACGACAGAACCCGGCUUAUCGGCCAGCUUCACUU